GGUUAAGCGACUAAGCGUACACGGUGGAUGCCCUGGCAGUCAGAGGCGAUGAAGGACGUGCUAAUCUGCGAUAAGCGUCGGUGAGGUGAUAUGAACCGUUAUAACCGGCGAUUUCCGAAUGGGGAAACCCAGUGUGUUUCGACACACUAUCAUUAACUGAAUCCAUAGGUUAAUGAGGCGAACCGGGGGAACUGAAACAUCUAAGUACCCCGAGGAAAAGAAAUCAACCGAGAUUCCCCCAGUAGCGGCGAGCGAACGGGGAGGAGCCCAGAGCCUGAAUCAGUGUGUGUGUUAGUGGAAGCGUCUGGAAAGGCGUGCGAUACAGGGUGACAGCCCCGUACACAAAAAUGCACAUAUUGUGAGCUCGAUGAGUAGGGCGGGACACGUGGUAUCCUGUCUGAAUAUGGGGGGACCAUCCUCCAAGGCUAAAUACUCCUGACUGACCGAUAGUGAACCAGUACCGUGAGGGAAAGGCGAAAAGAACCCCGGCGAGGGGAGUGAAAAAGAACCUGAAACCGUGUACGUACAAGCAGUGGGAGCCUCUUAAUGGGGUGACUGCGUACCUUUUGUAUAAUGGGUCAGCGACUUAUAUUCUGUAGCAAGGUUAACCGAAUAGGGGAGCCGAAGGGAAACCGAGUCUUAACUGGGCGUUAAGUUGCAGGGUAUAGACCCGAAACCCGGUGAUCUAGCCAUGGGCAGGUUGAAGGUUGGGUAACACUAACUGGAGGACCGAACCGACUAAUGUUGAAAAAUUAGCGGAUGACUUGUGGCUGGGGGUGAAAGGCCAAUCAAACCGGGAGAUAGCUGGUUCUCCCCGAAAGCUAUUUAGGUAGCGCCUCGUGAAUUCAUCUCCGGGGGUAGAGCACUGUUUCGGCAAGGGGGUCAUCCCGACUUACCAACCCGAUGCAAACUGCGAAUACCGGAGAAUGUUAUCACGGGAGACACACGGCGGGUGCUAACGUCCGUCGUGAA
RNAcentral lists this ribosomal RNA (972 nucleotides) under Escherichia coli. RNAcentral's name for it is "partial 23S ribosomal RNA". It matches the Rfam family "Bacterial large subunit ribosomal RNA", at positions 1 to 1014 of the family's 2925-position model. Lineage: Bacteria; Pseudomonadati; Pseudomonadota; Gammaproteobacteria; Enterobacterales; Enterobacteriaceae. The record is from RNAcentral.